Molecule: long non-coding RNA, 399 nt
Organism: Mercenaria mercenaria
Lineage: Eukaryota; Metazoa; Mollusca; Bivalvia; Venerida; Veneridae
Exons: 2
Source: RefSeq, a predicted model, not a curated record
AACACUUCAGACAUUUAACAUUUAACUUUCAUCGAACUCGCACGUUAAGUAUUUAAACGCCUUUAUUUGAUAAAACAUGGACGGUUACCAGGGACAAAGUAAUCCUAGUUCUACGUCAGGAAACUUUGCAAAAGAAAUUCUAUCGAGUUAAAAAAGUAAACAUUUUGAAGCAAACACCUAUGCCAACGGCCUAACUGGCAGCCAAGGCAUCGAGGGUAAAUAUUGCGGUGGACGGUCUGGUAGACAUCAGUUCUGUGCAGGUUUCGACGUCAGUCAUUCAACAAAUGGGACCAGUGAUGUUGGUGCUACGGCUGGAUAUAGAUAUAACUUCAAAUAAAUGAAAGGCAGGAACAGAUAAUACACAAAGAAAAAAGAACGACAUAUAAAAAUGUUUUGAAG